This 106-nucleotide small nucleolar RNA is filed under the name Cephalotus follicularis. RNAcentral's name for it is "Plant small nucleolar RNA R71". It matches the Rfam family "Plant small nucleolar RNA R71". From Rfam's summary of the family: R71 is a member of the C/D box family of snoRNAs containing the C (UGAUGA) and D (CUGA) box motifs. Multiple nearly identical copies of this snoRNA have been identified in Arabidopsis, and it is thought to function as a 2'-O-ribose methylation guide for 18S ribosomal RNA. Lineage: Eukaryota; Viridiplantae; Streptophyta; Magnoliopsida; Oxalidales; Cephalotaceae. The record is from Rfam by way of RNAcentral.
ACGACAUGAUGAGGACAUUUCUGAUGAUGUCCUUUAAUCUUUCCCAUGCCUCGUGAAACUGCUCACUAUCGUGCUGUGAAAAACUAGUGAGAGCUCGCCUUAUUUG